Molecule: small nuclear RNA, 111 nt
Organism: Suncus etruscus (white-toothed pygmy shrew)
Lineage: Eukaryota; Metazoa; Chordata; Mammalia; Eulipotyphla; Soricidae
Source: RefSeq, a predicted model, not a curated record
GUGCUCACUUCGGCAACACAUAUACUAAAAUUAGAACGAUACAGAGAAGAUAGAUGAGCAUGGCCUCUGCGCAAGGAUGACACGCAAAUUCGUGAAACGUUCCAUAGUUUU